CGAAAGCCUGACGGAGCAAUACCGCGUGAGGGAGGAAGGUUUUUGGAUUGUAAACCUCUUUUUUAAAGGAAGAAGAAAGUGACGGUACUUUAAGAAUAAGCAUCGGCUAACUCCGUGCCAGCAGCCGCGGUAAGACGGAGGAUGCAAGCGUUAUCCGGAAUUAUUGGGCGUAAAGCGUCCGUAGGUGGCUUAGAAAGUCAGUUGUUAAAGCCCACAGCUCAACUGUGGAUCGGCAAUUGAAACUACUAGGCUUGAGUGUGGUAGGGGUAGAGGGAAUUCCUAGUGUAGCGGUGAAAUGCGUAGAUAUUAGGAAGAACACCAGUGGCGAAGGCGCUCUACUGGGCCAUAACUGACACUGAUGGACGAAAGCUAGGGGAGCG
RNAcentral lists this ribosomal RNA (380 nucleotides) under uncultured cyanobacterium. RNAcentral's name for it is "bacterial SSU rRNA". It matches the Rfam family "Bacterial small subunit ribosomal RNA", at positions 376 to 770 of the family's 1533-position model. The record is from RNAcentral. Lineage: Bacteria; Bacillati; Cyanobacteriota.